UAUUCCAUUUCAGACUAUAUAUUUAGGUUGGCGCAAAAGUAAUUGCGGUUUUGGCCUUUAUUUUCAAUGGCAAAAACCUCAGUUGCUUUUGUGCCAACCUAAUACUUCACA
RNAcentral lists this microRNA precursor (111 nucleotides) under Gorilla gorilla (western gorilla). Its description in RNAcentral is "microRNA ggo-mir-548b precursor". Its record names the gene ggo-mir-548b. RNAcentral also lists the same sequence under 1 other name. The record is from miRBase by way of RNAcentral. Lineage: Eukaryota; Metazoa; Chordata; Mammalia; Primates; Hominidae.